RNAcentral lists this ribosomal RNA (491 nucleotides) under uncultured bacterium. RNAcentral describes it as "partial 16S ribosomal RNA". It matches the Rfam family "Bacterial small subunit ribosomal RNA", at positions 29 to 506 of the family's 1533-position model. The record is from RNAcentral.
AGUGAACGCUGGCGGUAGGCCUAACACAUGCAAGUCGAACGGCAGCACAGUAAGAGCUUGCUCUUACGGGUGGCGAGUGGCGGACGGGUGAGGAAUACAUCGGAAUCUACUUUUUCGUGGGGGAUAACGUAGGGAAACUUACGCUAAUACCGCAUACGACCUACGGGUGAAAGCAGGGGAUCUUCGGACCUUGCGCGAUUGUAUGAGCCGAUGUCGGAUUAGCUAGUUGGCGGGGUAAAGGCCCACCAAGGCGACGCUCCGUAGCUGGUCUGAGAGGAUGAUCAGCCAAACUGGAACGGAGAAACGGUCCAGACUCCAACGGGAGGCAGCAGAGGGGAAUAUUGGAAAAUGGGCGAAAGCCUGAUCCAGCCAUACCGCGUGGGUGAAGAAGGCCUUCGGGUUGUAAAGCCCUUUUGUUGGGAAAGAAAAGCAGCAGGUUAAUACCCCGCUGUUCUGACGGUACCCAAAGAAUAAGCACCGGCUAACUGCGU